Molecule: ribosomal RNA, 230 nt
Filed under: uncultured bacterium
Lineage: Bacteria
Description: partial 16S ribosomal RNA
Rfam family: Bacterial small subunit ribosomal RNA
Source: RNAcentral
UGGGUAACCUGCCUCAUAGAGGGGAAUAGCCUUUCGAAAGGAAGAUUAAUACCGCAUAAGAUUGUAACUUCGCAUGAAGUAGCAAUUAAAGGAGUAAUCCGCUAUGAGAUGGACCCGCGUCGCAUUAGCUAGUUGGUGAGGUAACGGCUCACCAAGGCGACGAUGCGUAGCCGACCUGAGAGGGUGAUCGGCCACAUUGGGACUGAGACACGGCCCAGACUCCGUAGGAG